UGCCCAGCAACUCCUAUCCCUACCUCCUCGCGGUACCGGCCGGAAACUAUGAGCAACCUUAGGGAAGA
Non-coding RNA from Aedes albopictus (Asian tiger mosquito), 68 nucleotides. Lineage: Eukaryota; Metazoa; Arthropoda; Insecta; Diptera; Culicidae. The record is from Rfam.